AGCCAUUUUGUUUUUAUGCUCAAAAGGUUGGGCAGGAUACUUUUGUAGCUCACAUACGUUGUUGCUUCUCUGCUGGCUCAUUUGAUGGCUAUGGGGCAGCAGCUCAGCCUGCCACCACCUCUAGGUGUUUCUUCAGCUUCUCCAACUCCAAGGCUGGCAUUCUCUCUCUUGCUGCCCUGUGAAGAGGUGCCUUCCACCAUAAUUUUACAGAGCUUUCACUCCAGCAUCUGAAAGAGGCACCAACUCCUGCUAAAUCUUGAGAAUUGACACACUGAAGCCUUAUCUUCAGACUCUGGAAAAGGCUGGAAGCUUAUCAUGGGCCUGGAUCUUGUGUUAUUCAAAUGUUUUCACCGAUGCCUACAACUGUCUUUGGCACAUAGAAGAUGCAAACAAUAAACCUCAGAACAUCUCAAACCCAAGGAGUCUGGAUUUUCCUGACAUCAAUGUAUCCUUUUGAGUAUGUUAUCAUAUCUCUUAACAUUUCUGUUUCAUCCUUGACCUGAGACUUUUUUUUUUUUUUAAUCUUGAGAUAAUUCUUGGCUUUGUCAAGGCUACUGGUGACAAAAGCAUUAGCAAGCAG
Molecule: long non-coding RNA, 580 nt
Organism: Gorilla gorilla gorilla (western lowland gorilla)
Lineage: Eukaryota; Metazoa; Chordata; Mammalia; Primates; Hominidae
Exons: 6
Source: RefSeq, a predicted model, not a curated record